ACGAACGCUGGCGGCGCGCCUAACACAUGCCAGUCGAACGAGCGAGAGAGAGCUUGCUUUCUCAAGCGAGUGGCGAACGGGUGAGUAACGCGUGAGGAACCUGCCUCAAAGAGGGGGACAACAGUUGGAAACGACUGCUAAUACCGCAUAAGCCCACAGGUCGGCAUCGACCAGAGGGAAAAGGAGCAAUCCGCUUUGAGAUGGCCUCGCGUCCGAUUAGCUAGUUGGUGAGGUAACGGCCCACCAAGGCAACGAUCGGUAGCCGGACUGAGAGGUUGAACGGCCACAUUGGGACUGAGACACGGCCCAGACUCCUACGGGAGGCAGCAGUGGGGAAUAUUGCACAAUGGGGGAAACCCUGAUGCAGCGACGCCGCGUGGAGGAAGAAGGUCUUCGGAUUGUAAACUCCUGUUGUUGAGGAAGAUAAUGACGGUACUCAACAAGGAAGUGACGGCUAACUACGUG
This 465-nucleotide ribosomal RNA is filed under the name uncultured bacterium. RNAcentral's name for it is "partial 16S ribosomal RNA". It matches the Rfam family "Bacterial small subunit ribosomal RNA", at positions 29 to 507 of the family's 1533-position model. The record is from RNAcentral.